RNAcentral lists this ribosomal RNA (238 nucleotides) under Salmonella enterica subsp. enterica serovar Saintpaul str. S-70. Its description in RNAcentral is "partial 16S ribosomal RNA". It matches the Rfam family "Bacterial small subunit ribosomal RNA", at positions 1307 to 1533 of the family's 1533-position model. The record is from RNAcentral. Lineage: Bacteria; Pseudomonadati; Pseudomonadota; Gammaproteobacteria; Enterobacterales; Enterobacteriaceae.
CAAACUCGACUCCAUGAAGUCGGAAWUCGCUAGUAAUCGUGGAUCAGAAUGCCACGGUGAAUACGUUCCCGGGCCUUGUACACACCGCCCGUCACACCAUGGGAGUGGGUUGCAAAAGAAGUAGGUAGCUUAACCUUCGGGAGGGCGCUUACCACUUUGUGAUUCAUGACUGGGGUGAAGUCGUAACAAGGUAACCGUAGGGGAACCUGCGGUUGGAUCACCUCCUUACCUGAAAGAA